CGCCGCGGCUCCCGGCGCCGGGCCGUGCCGUGCCCUGCCGCCCCGGGCUGCGGCGGGAGCAGCUCCUGAAGCUCCGCUCUUGAACUUUUCCUACYCAGCGACUUGACGGGCUGCUCUCGCUGUCCUGUUGGCGUCUACAAGGAGAAAAUCUGGCAGGGGCUGCCUUCCCAGCAGUCCCCGAUCUGCUCCAAACAUGCUUAGAGGCAGCCUCUCUCGGAGGGAGGGGUGCGCUACAUUCGCAGUCAAAUUACAUGGCUGGCCUCUAAAGGCACUAGCUUCGGAUUUCCAAACUAAUACUCAUCUUUUAAAAGCCGAGCCAAAAAGAAAAUGCAAGGAAGGCCUCAGAUGCGGGAGACCUCGGGGGAACUCUGUAAGAGGUUCAGUGCUGGACACCACACCGUCGCAGG
Molecule: long non-coding RNA, 407 nt
Filed under: Dromaius novaehollandiae (emu)
Lineage: Eukaryota; Metazoa; Chordata; Aves; Casuariiformes; Dromaiidae
Description: lncRNA (ENSDNVG00000009972.1)
Source: RNAcentral